UGAGGAAUAUUGGUCAAUGGGCGAGAGCCUGAACCAGCCAAGUCGCGUGAAGGAUGACGGCCCUACGGGUUGUAAACUUCUUUUGUCAGGGAGCAAUUGAGUCCACGUGUGGGCUUAGCGAGAGUACCUGAAGAAAAAGCAUCGGCUAACUCCGUGCCAGCAGCCGCGGUAAUACGGAGGAUGCGAGCGUUAUCCGGAUUUAUUGGGUUUAAAGGGUGCGUAGGCGGAAUAUCAAGUCAGCGGUAAAAAUUCGGGGCUCAACCCCGUCGUGCCGUUGAAACUGAUGUUCUUGAGUGGGCGAGAAGUAUGCGGAAUGCGUGGUGUAGCGGUGAAAUGCAUAGAUAUCACGCAGAACUCCGAUUGCGAAGGCAGCAUACCGGCGCCCAACUGACGCUGAAGCACGAAAGCGUGGGUAUCGAACAGG
Molecule: ribosomal RNA, 424 nt
Filed under: uncultured bacterium
Lineage: Bacteria
Also listed under: 1 other name
Description: bacterial SSU rRNA
Rfam family: Bacterial small subunit ribosomal RNA
Source: RNAcentral